Non-coding RNA from Paramuricea clavata, 1216 nucleotides. The record is from the annotation of a GenBank genome assembly. NCBI's taxonomy places the organism in Eukaryota, Metazoa, Cnidaria, Anthozoa, Malacalcyonacea, Plexauridae.
CUAUUUUGUGGCUAUCAACGACGAUCGGAAAUCUGACAUCCACCAUGCGAGCCGAAACCUAUACUCGUCUGGGGCACAGUGCCCCAGCGAGUAAUUAAAUUAUCUAAGAUCGCGUAACUGCCAACUCGCAAUUUACCAUUUCGACCCACUCACUGAAAGGAUUGAAAUAUCUCCUAAACAUGAGAUAUUAUUUUCAGUUGAUCUCAACCUAUAUUUCCCCCAAACUCCCCACCAUUCAUUAAUGUUACUUAAUAUUUAUUUUAGGUUUUUAUUAACUUUGCGAAACAACAAACAGACGGAAUUGAACCAAUACCACCAUCCUCGGAGCCACACAGUCCAACAAUUGAACAGCCUCCGAUAGUUGAGGUAUAACACAUGAGCUGUAAUAUAUACAUGACGGUCGGAUAUUGCCCGUUCUUAAAAUGAAAGAAUUUUAUGUAAACAUAUAAAUAUAGAACGUUUGUAAUAUGUAGAAUGUUUUGUACAGUUUGGUGCGUGAAUAUAGAUAAUUUUGAGUGGAAGUAAUAUACGAUGUAGAAAUUUUGAUAAGAAAGAUGAUCAUGUUAUUAGACAAUUUUAGUAGAAAUUUUAGACUAAAUUAUUUUAAAAUGAUUAAUAUAUCUGUAACCUUGUGUGGAUUAUUAUGUAAUAUCAUGUCAAGUUUGUGAAACUUAUCAGUCUGCACACCAUGCUUUUGUCGUCGAGAUUUGAACGCCAAUAGCGUACACUUCCCAAGUUGCUCGUUAGAAUGAAAACUACUUACAAUGGAUUAACAUUGUCCACCUCGAUUUCAAGCUAGUUUUUCAUGUGCACGUGAGCAAAUUGGGGAAGGAUCUGUUGGGUCGUGAGGUAAAAUGAGUAAUGGCUAAGGGCCUGUUCAUAUGAUCCCGCUUACCGGGACGUCCCUCUUACCGAUGAUCUCGGCGCCUAGUUAUUUUCCUGUACAAUUUUGCAUUGUGUUGGAGUGGCCGAAAUCUCGCUUGAAUUUGCCGAGAUCAUAGGUAGGCGGGAUGAAACAUUUUCCAUAUGAACACGCCAUCCAGGUUAUCGGGAUGAAGUCAAACAAGUCUUGCCGUUUAAUUUAACACGUUUUACUUAGUUUUAUUUUUUGUUUUGUAAACAAGUGUUAAAUAUGCAGCUAAAGCAAUACUUUUUCUUGUAAAUAAAUGAAGAAAAACACUAAAAUCGCUAAAUCUUUGUGUUGCUUGACUGAAAU